CCGUUUAGUUUUAUUUGCUGGUUGCUUAUUCAAAAUCAGCGAUUGUCAAACAGAACGCAGAUCAUAUUCCAGGCAGCUACUCACUCCAUAAUGUUUAUCCUACUCCAACAAGGGAUUCUGCAUUACUAAAUGCUUGUCACAUGC
This is a small nucleolar RNA of Drosophila suzukii, 144 nucleotides long. RefSeq annotates it as small nucleolar RNA psi18S-1377. The record is from RefSeq and is a predicted model, not a curated record. NCBI's taxonomy places the organism in Eukaryota, Metazoa, Arthropoda, Insecta, Diptera, Drosophilidae.